CCUACUGGAGGCAGCAGUGAGGAAUAUUGGUCAAUGGGCGCGAGCCUGAACCAGCCAAGUAGCGUGAAGGAUGACUGCCCUACGGGUUGUAAACUUCUUUUGUAAAGGAAUAAAAUGAGGCACGGGUGCCUGUUUGAAUGUACUUGAUGAAUAAGGAUCGGCUAACUCCGUGCCAGCAGCCGCGGUAAUACGGAGGAUCCGAGCGUUAUCCGGAUUUAUUGGGUUUAAAGGGAGCGUAGAUGGGUCGUUAAGUAAGUUGUGAAAGUCUGAGGCCCAACCGUAAAAUUGCCAUUGAUACUGGCAGUCUUGAGUACAGUUGAGGUAGGCGGAAUUCGUGGUGUAGCGGUGAAAUGCUUAGAUAUCACGCAGAACUCCGAUUGCGAAGGCAGCUUACCAAACUGCCUCUGACAUUGAUGCUCGAAAGUGUGGGUAUCAAACAGGAUUAGAUACCCUAGUAGUC
This 460-nucleotide ribosomal RNA is filed under the name uncultured bacterium. RNAcentral describes it as "partial 16S ribosomal RNA". It matches the Rfam family "Bacterial small subunit ribosomal RNA", at positions 338 to 795 of the family's 1533-position model. The record is from RNAcentral.